This 186-nucleotide microRNA precursor is filed under the name Gossypium raimondii (Peruvian cotton). RNAcentral's name for it is "miR8751a stem-loop (gra-MIR8751a)". The record is from miRBase by way of RNAcentral. Lineage: Eukaryota; Viridiplantae; Streptophyta; Magnoliopsida; Malvales; Malvaceae.
UAGUGAGGGUUGAAAUUUGUAGAGACAAAACGCUCCAAGUAUGACGCACUUCAGCAGAGGUACUGAAAGUGCUCCCAGCUGAGUUAGCAUUGAAAACGCUUUCAACUGGACACGCUCUCAAUACUUCUGAUGACAGUGCCUCUUGCUUGGAGCAUUUUGUCUCUGCAAAUUUCAACCCCCCACUAU